GGGAAUUUGGAGGGGCAGAGGAACAAAACAAACUCAUUCAAAGUGAUUUGGAUUUAUCAGGAUUGCAGGCAGCAUUUUCAUCAGGCUGUUCUGAGGAGGACAUUGUGUACUGGGAGCUGGAUGUAUUUUGAGAAAGAGACACCACUACAAAAAACUCCGAGUUUAAAUUGCAAAGAUGGAUGAAGUAAAAAUGAGGGAUGGUUAUUUUGCUUUUUACAGAUGGGAGCUGAAGCAGGGAAGGUGAGUGUUGUGGCCAAAGUCACCCUGGGAGUCCGUGGAAUUGCAUCCUGAUCUUUGAAGUGCAGUUCCAGUAUUUUACCAUAUAUUGUCUUCUGUUCCCUUGCUGCUGAAUGUGGAUUUGAUAUGCACAUGUGUAAUGAGCCAAGCAUGUUCUGCAUAUGUUUAGCCAAAUUGUGACCUCAGGGACAUAAGGGGAGCACUCCCUGGUCUGGUCAGGAGGGCUUCCAUGGCUGGGCUCAUCCAAGGACUGCAAAGCAGUGUUGGCAUUUAUGAAAUUAAAGUUUGGUGUUUUAGCAUCUCUGGGUUCUGGAGAGGCCUGGCAGGGCAGUGGGUGAUGCUGCAUUGCUGAUUGUGUGACCCCUUGUACUGUCUGGGCACCAGAUGCUGCUUAAUGAUUAGUGUGUAACAAAUUAAUAAAUCAAUGCACAGAUAAAUAAACAUCCAUUGCAGGGGCCUCUCAAAUCUCUCUCCUCUGGGGGAGAAGGGAGACCUGCAGGCAUUACAUUCUUCACUGGACACAAAUGCCUCUAGACUCUGUGCUAUCCUGACACCUUGCAGAGGGAAUGUGUACUUGAGAUUAAUUAUAUUCCAUAGGUGGUUCAAUAUGUGGUGGAAAAAACCUGACAUUUUUGGCUUAGUUUUGCUGUGUGCAGACGUUCUUGCAGAGAAGGAUGAGUGGUCAGCACAGUCAAAGUGGGCUCAGGAGGAACAAGUCCUGCCCUGAAGGGCUUUAUCCACAGGGUCUCAUUGCAGACAAUACCUUUGAAGUCUAAAGAUAAGAUCUUAUUGCCCAAGCUCCCUCUGUAGCUUUGUGGAGAACAAGGAAUGGUGUAUCAUUUAAAGUCUGAAUUUGGACUGCAGUCCUGAAAAAUAAUGCAUGUGGCACAUCAAACACCAGAGGCUGACCUGAGCCUCUCUCAGCCAAAAUCAGGCAACAAAUUGAGUUACUGUGUUGUCAUCAUUAGGCUGUCAGAAGCACAAAAACUUCUGUGCAUCUGGCCUUGUUUUUCAGGAAUAAAGCAUUUAAAGUUGGUGUGAUAUAUUAUGGAAUGCAGGUAAUUAAUGUCCUUGUAAUAACCAAAGGGAGAAUUCAGACAGAAUUCAGAUGUGGUUUCUGAAUCUGUACAAACACCUACAAAUCCAGAAUGGGACAGGAGAGUAAAUAAAUCCCUGACUGGCCUGACUGAUUUUUCCAUUCUUCUUACAUAAGAAAUGUGUGUAUAUUUCUGUGCUAUGCUUGGUCUAUAAUUUAUGUAUUGCAAUAAAAAAUAUACGUGUGCAUAAUUAGAUGGGACAAUAAAGAAAAGCAGUUGAUGAAAUU
Lonchura striata (white-rumped munia) is the source of this 1561-nucleotide non-coding RNA. Lineage: Eukaryota; Metazoa; Chordata; Aves; Passeriformes; Estrildidae. The record is from RefSeq and is a predicted model, not a curated record.